UCCGAGUUGACCCCGGCAGUCUCCCAUGAGUCCCCGGCAUAACCCGCUGGCAACACAGGACAAGGGUUGCGCUCGUUGCGGGACUUAACCCAACAUCUCGCGACACGAGCUGACGACAACCAUGCACCACCUGUCACGCGCCCAAAAAGGACCCCGUAUCUCUACGAGUUUUCACAUGAUGUCAAACCCAGGUAAGGUUCUUCGGGUCGCAUCGAAUUAAGCCGCAUGCUCCGCCGCUUGUGCGGGGACCCGUCAAUUCCUUUGAGUUUUAGCCUUGCGGCCGUACUCCUCAGGCGGGGCACUUAAUGCGUUAGCUUCGGCACGGCAACCGUUGGUCGGGUCGCCACACCUAGUGCCCAACGUUUACAGCGUGGACUAC
Molecule: unclassified non-coding RNA, 379 nt
Filed under: uncultured Acidimicrobiia bacterium
Lineage: Bacteria; Bacillati; Actinomycetota; Acidimicrobiia
Description: contains 16S-23S intergenic spacer region
Source: RNAcentral